UAUGGUUCACCUUUUUUUUCUUUUUUCUUUCUUUCUUUUUUUUUUUUUUUAACUAUCCUCGUAUGGUCAGCAUCCUUCAGUGCCUUGGCCACAAUACUAUCAUCAUAUUUGUUGUACAUGAGCGGUACAGGGUUUCGCCUGUGCAGUGCUGUUUCAGCUAUACAUUCCAGUUCUGGGUCGGCCUUUUGCCAUGGCCUUGUUUGCUUCUUCCACAGUCCCUCAAUCACUUUGUAAGAGUAGCCAUAUUUGUAUCCUACUUGAUGAAUAUAUCUAUGUUCAAUCUCUUUGUGCCCAUGUUGUGAUGUGGGUGAAGGCUCUUGCAAUCAUCGUUCCAAAGGCCACUAGCUUGUAUGACAU
Molecule: long non-coding RNA, 357 nt
Filed under: Androctonus crassicauda
Lineage: Eukaryota; Metazoa; Arthropoda; Arachnida; Scorpiones; Buthidae
Source: RNAcentral